RNAcentral lists this ribosomal RNA (650 nucleotides) under uncultured Tomentella. RNAcentral describes it as "eukaryotic LSU rRNA". The stretch from base 212 to 366 matches the Rfam family "5.8S ribosomal RNA". Lineage: Eukaryota; Fungi; Basidiomycota; Agaricomycetes; Thelephorales; Thelephoraceae. The record is from RNAcentral.
AAGGAUCAUUACCGAAUUGUACACACGAGUUGUUGCUGGUCCUCAAACGGGGGCAUGUGCACGCUCUGUUCACACAUCCACUCACACCUGUGCACACUCUGUAGUUCUAUGGCCUAGGGGACUCUGUCCUCUUGCCGUGGUUCUAUGUCUUUACACACACACUGUAAUAAAGUCUUAUGGAAUGCAUGUCGCGUUUAACGCAAUACAAUACAACUUUCAGCAACGGAUCUCUUGGCUCUCGCAUCGAUGAAGAACGCAGCGAAAUGCGAUAAGUAAUGUGAAUUGCAGAAUUCAGUGAAUCAUCGAAUCUUUGAACGCACCUUGCGCCCUUUGGCUAUUCCGAAGGGCAUGCCUGUUUGAGUAUCAUGAACACCUCAACUCUCAUGGUUUACCAUGAUGAGCUUGGACUUUGGGGGUCUUGCUGGCCAGUGGUCAGCUCCUCUCAAAUGAAUCAGCUUGCCAGUGUUUGGUGGGAUCGCAGGUGUGAUAACUAUCUACGCUUGUGGUUUUCCGUCAGGUAACCUUCAGUGAUGGAGGUUCGCUGGAGCUCAUAAACGUCUCUCCUAAGCGAGGACAACUUUUUGAACGUUUGAUCUCAAAUCAGGUAGGACUACCCGCUGAACUUAAGCAUAUCAAUAAGCGGAGGAAAG